GAACGCUGGCGGCAUGCCUUACACAUGCAAGUCGAACGGCAGCACGGGAGCUUGCUCCUGGUGGCGAGUGGCGAACGGGUGAGUAAUAUAUCGGAACGUACCCUAGAGUGGGGGAUAACGCAGCGAAAGUUGCGCUAAUACCGCAUACGAUCUACGGAUGAAAGUGGGGGAUCGCAAGACCUCAUGCUCAUGGAGCGGCCGAUAUCUGAUUAGCUAGUUGGUAGGGUAAAAGCCUAGCAAGGCAUCGAUCAGUAGCUGGCCUGAGAGGACGACCAGCCACACUGGAACUGAGACACGGUCCAGACUCCUACGGGAGGCAGCAGUGGGGAAUUUUGGACAAUGGGCGCAAGCCUGAUCCAGCAAUGCCGCGUGAGUGAAGAAGGCCUUCGGGUUGUAAAGCUCUUUUGUCAGGGAAGAAACGGUGGAGGCUAAUAUCCUCUGCUAAUGACGGUACCUGAAGAAUAAGCACCGGCUAACUACGUGCCAGCAGCCGCGGUAAUACGUAGGGUGCAAGCGUUAAUCGGAAUUACUGGGCGUAAAGCGUGCGCAGGCGGUUUUGUAAGUUUGUCGUGAAAUCCCCGGGCUCAACCUGGGAAUGGCGAUGAAGACUGCAAGGCUAGAGUUUGGCAGAGGGGGGUAGAAUUCCACGUGUAGCAGUGAAAUGCGUAGAUAUCAGGAGGAGUACCGAUGGCGAAGGCAGGUCUCUGGGCUAACACUGACGCUCAUGCACGAAAGCGUGGGGA
Molecule: ribosomal RNA, 743 nt
Filed under: uncultured soil bacterium
Lineage: Bacteria
Description: bacterial SSU rRNA
Rfam family: Bacterial small subunit ribosomal RNA
Source: RNAcentral